Molecule: long non-coding RNA, 704 nt
Organism: Balaenoptera ricei (Rice's whale)
Lineage: Eukaryota; Metazoa; Chordata; Mammalia; Artiodactyla; Balaenopteridae
Exons: 2
Source: RefSeq, a predicted model, not a curated record
ACCCGCUGCGCCGGCCGGCAACGCAGCCUGCCGCGCCUUGCCCAGGGUGAGCACGCCGCAGAGCUGGCAACGCCGCGCAGCCACCGCGAGCCCGACGCCGCCCGACCCAGCCCGUCCUACGCGCGCGACGGCCCCUGACGGCGCCCCGCGCGGCACGCUGGGAGUUGUAGUCCGCGCCGCGCAGCCCCGCCGGACCACAGAGGACCCCGGGGCCGUGAGGAGGCAGGCGGGCUCUGCCUGGACCCCGACCGCCAAUCCCUGGGCGUCCGGACGUGGGGGAGAGCAUCCCCAUCGCACCGUUGGCGGAAAAUCUGGAGUCCGCGCCCGGACCCGAGCAGAGUUCAGCAAAGGCCCGGCGCCACACCUAGAAGAACGCUAAAAGGGCUGUUUCAGGCAGAGGGGACAUGGGUUCGAGCCCUGGUCUGGGAAGAUCCCACAUGCUGCGGAGCAACUAAGCCCGUGCACCACAACUACUGAGCCUGCUUGCCACAACUACUGAGCCCGCAUGCCACAACUACUGAAGCCCGUGCGCCUAGAGCCCCUGCUCCACAAGAGGAGCCACCACAAUGAGAAGCCCGCGCACUGCCACGAAGAGUAGCCCCUGCUCACCGCAACUAGAGAAAACCCGCGCGCAGCAACGAAGACCCAACGCAGCCAAAAAUAAAUAAUAAAUAAAAUAAAUAAAUUUAUUAAAAAAAAAGAAA